UUUUUUUUUUUUUUUUGUCUUUUUUAGGGCCACUCCCACAGCAUAUGAAAGUUCCCAGGCUAGGGGUCGAAUGGGAGGUGCAGCCCCAACCUACACCACAGCUCACCGAAACACAGGAUCCUUAACCUACUGAGUGGGGCCAGGGAUUGAACCCACAUGCUCAUGGAUCCUAGUUGGGCUCAUUAACAGCUGAGCCGUGACAGGAACUCUUCCCCCCCACCACUAAUUUUUCUCUUAUUGAAUCAAUCCUAUAAUCACACCAAAUAAUUUUCAGAAACAAUGAGGUAUGCAUUUAAAUAGGAGUGAUUAUAAUCAAGUGAAGUCUAUUAUAUUUGAAAAUUUUAAAGUCGUGUUUUGCCAUUUUCACUGUAUUGAUUCUUAAAAUUCAAGAGCAUGGUAUAUUUAUAUCCAUCUAUUUGUGUGUUUUUUUAUUCCUUUCAUCAUGUCUCAUAGUUUUCAGAGUACAGGUCUUUUGUCUCUUUAGGGAGGUUUAUUUCUAGGUAUUUCAUUCUUCUUGGUGCAAUGAUAAAUGUAAUUGUUUCCCUAAUUUUUCUUUCUGAUCUUUCAUAGUAUAUAGAAAUGCAGUUGAUUAAUGUAUUAAUUUUGUAUCCUGUAACUUUAGCAAAAUCAUUUAUGAGCUCUAAUAGUUUUCUUGUAGUGUCUUUAGGAUUUUCUAGGUCUAUAAUCCUGUGAUCUCUAAACAUGAUAGUUUUACUUCUUGUUUUCAAACUGGGAUUUUUUCAUUUCUUUUUCUUCAGACUCUACUACAAAGCUACAGUCAUUAAAACAGGAUGGUGCUGCCACAAAAACAAAUAUAGAUCAAUGCAAUAGGAUAGAAAGCCCAGAAAUAUCUCAAAACACCUAUGGGUCAAUUAAUCUAUGUCAAAGGAAGCAAGAACAUAUGGUGGAGGCAGAACAGAGUCUGACGUCUGGGAGCCUGAUUCUUCCAGUUCUGUUUUUUCUUUCCAAUAUUAUUUUGGCUGUUCAAGGUCUUUUGCGUUUCCAAACAAAUUUUAAAAUAUUUUGUUCUAGUUUUGUAAAGAAUAUCAUUGGUAAUUUAAUAGGGAUUUCAUUGAAUCUGUAGACAGACACCAUAUAAUACCACUUAUAUGUGGAGUCUAAAGUAUGGCACAAAUGAUCUAUUUAUAAAACAGAAAAGAUCAUGGACAUGUAAGACAGACAGACUCAUGUUUGCCAGUGGGAGGAGGGAUAGAGUGGGAUGGGUUGGGAGUCUGGGGUUAGGAGAUGAAAACUCUUGCAUUUGGAGUGUAUGGGCAAUAAGAUUCUGCUGUAUAGCACAAGGAACUAUAUAUCUAAUCACUUGUGAUGAAACAUGAUGGAGGACAAUGUGAGAAAAAGAAUGUGUGUGUGUGUAUAUAUAUACAUAUAUAUAUGUAUGACUGGGUCAAUUUUCAGUAUAGCAAAAAUUGAUAAAACACUAAAUCAUAAAUAUUUUUUAAAGAUCAUGUGUUUUGUAUACAUAUUUACUCUGAAAUAGAUGCAACUACAUGAGUUGAUUGCUACUUUAGAAUGCUUCUUAAAACUGGAAAAUUUAUUAUUUCUAUUUAAUAUAAUUCAUGUCAAUUUAAUAAUGAUUUUCGUAAAAAUAUAAACAUUUAAUGCAGAUAUUAAAUAUUUAUAUUCUAUAUACCCCUAGUGCCCAGAUUGGUAGCUUGUACAUGGAAAAUAUCUUGUGCAUGCAGAAAUUUCAAAAUAAUACUCUGAUUAUUUCAUUGUUGUCUUCACAAGGUCCAUUAAUGAUCUUUUAGUAAAAUAUUCUACUUGUUCUAUAUAGGAGAAAGUUUGUAUUACCAUCGGCCUUCUUAAAUGCUUUGGGAAAUUUAGAAAGAUCAUAUAAGGUAUUUUUCCAAAGAGUUACAUUUUAUUUAAUUAGAUCUAGAAAAUUUUUUACAGGGCAAGAGAUCAUAUUGGAAAACUUCCAGAUUUAAAAAAAAAAAAAAAAAAGUGGCUUAAAGGGAGUUCUCAUUGUGGCUCAGGGGAUUACCAACCCAACUAGUAUCAAUGAGGAUGCAGGUUCAAUCCCUGACCUCCUCCCUCAGUGGGUUAAGGAUCUGCAUUGUUGUGGCUGUGGUGUAGGUUGGCAGCUGCAGUUCUGAUUUGACCCUUAACCUGGAAAAUUCCAUAUGCCACAGGUGCAGCCCUAAAAAAAAAAAAAAACAGAACAAAAAAAAAAAACCCAGAAAGGCUUAGGUCCAAUAUCCAAAAAAAAAAACAAAAAAAAAAAAACCCAGAAAGGCUUAGGUCCAAUAUCCAAAAAAACAAACAAGAAAAGAGACAAAGUCUCACAACUCUGUCAAAACAACCAACUCUAGGAAAUGAGAUCUAUGGUCUGAAUGUUCAUGACCUCCAAAAUCCAUAUGUUGAAAUCCUAAUGACCAGAGUGAUAGUGCGGUCUUUGAGAAGGGAUUAGAUCAUGAAGUGGCACUCUCAUCAAUGGAAUUGUGCUCCUAUAAGAAAAAUCUCAUAGAGCUCCCUGAUCCCUUCUACCAUGUGAGGAUACAAGGAGUCUAAAACCUGGAAGAGGGCUCUCUAUUGACCAGACUGGCAUCCUGCUUUCAGACUUUUACCUUCUAGAACAGUGAGGAAUAAAUUCUGUUGCUUCUAAGCUACCUAGACUGUGGUAUUCUGUUAAAGCAACCUGAACAGACUAAGACAAGAUCCUUAGAAGAAAUAAAUCUGAGAGCUAUUCCACAGCCCAUGUAUUGUCACACUCAUCUUUACAUCCCCAGGGUCUAAUAGAGAGUUGGACUCAAGGUAAGCGCCCCACAAAUUUUGAAUGGAUGCAUAAAUGGAUCAUUUAAGAUGAUGCUAGUUGAAUAUGUGCUUUGAGCUGCUUUUCUCUAUUAAGAUUGAUUUCUGCUGAUCCAUCAAUAUAUUCCCAGCCAAUCGCCCUCUGCCAAAACACGUCUUUGAGAGUUGGCAGGCUAGGAUCUGGUGUUUAGUCUGUGGCCAGAAAAAGAAUGAAAGGUAUCCAGACUGCAAAGGGUAUUAAUCUCUUGACCCUGGCCUUAUUAACUCUAUGCUUUAACUAACUGAGUUAACUAGCCAUGGCUAUAGGGAGCAGCAACAUUCAUAACCUUUAAUUACAGCAUUCUCUCUAAUGUCUCAAUGUUAUGGACUUGGAUGAGAAGCACAUUUGAAGAGACAUUAAUGGCACAGCAUAUGUUACAUUGUAGGUUUGUAAUCUGAGCCAAAAUUAGAACCCAUUUUUCAGAUAAUUAUCCAGUACUCUACUGUGAAAUCAAGCAGUCCAUUAAGGUCCUUAAAAUCUCUCUAUUCGAACCUGUAGCCCCCCAAAGCCAGGAGCUUUCUAUUAAUAGUUACAAGGUAUAUAUUAACACCCUUAAAAUAGCCAGGUUCUUCAAAUGCAACCCAUUAUUUAACAAUCAAAGGACUUUACUGAAUUUAAUCUAUCAAUUUAUAAAAUAAUUAUCAAAUACUAUAAGCAAGGUUCUCUUUCAUAUACCUCCCAAGAUACAAAUUAUAAUGUUUUUGGCUUUCAAGCAAUUUAAAACUUAAUCUAAAAAAAGAAGUGUACAUAUAGAAAUGUAAGUACCCCCCACUCAAACACACUUAUUCAAGAGCAAUACAACAUGCAAGAAGGCACAGGAGGCAGUUUUGAAGAUUAGAAGGGCUGAACUCUGAAGACGCCAAGUGAAAGUAAAAUUAUGUGGAAAAGACUUGGCAGUUUUAUGUGCCUAAAGUUCAAUACUAAAACACCUGAGGGGCAAGCCUGAGACCACUGAAUUCUUUAUUAUAGUGUUUACAUUGAUUUUUAAUUAUUCCUACCGUGCUGUUGUCCCUAAUACCUUGUGAGCUAUUUGAGGAUAAUAAUUGUAUCUUUUUUUAUCUUUGUGUGCCCAAGACAUAGCUUAGUACUGUGCAUUUGGUUAGUUUACAAAAUUUGCUCAUUCAAUUAUUUAUUGAACAUGGAUACUGGGCACCAGGCACUAGGAACAUGGUAUUUGACAAAAGAGAACUGGUCCCUGCUCUUUAGUUUACAGUCUUGUGGAUGAAUAAUGAGGGAAUAAAUGAAUGUAUUAGCCAUGUCCAAUGAACAGUAACUGCUUCCCUCUUCCUCCUUCUGAUGAUAAAUUUCUUUUGAGAUUCUAGUACACCUUCCUCCCACCCAUUAUUACAAAAAUGGAGGAAAGUUUGUCUCCUGCUCGUCUGUUUAUUCCUACUGACCAAGAACAUUUCGCCAAGUUUUGUCUUCUUAUGGUUAGAAUUUUGAAAAGGAUAGUGUUCCCCCCCGCCCCGCCAAACACAGAAUACAAUACUAACCAUAUUUUUGCAAACCAUACUGCCUGAAAGUGCUAGUUUCUUUGCGGAGGGUAUACAUCCUUGGCCAGGAACCACAGAGGAAGAAGUUGUGUGGAAGGAGACAGAGUAUGAGAAACAGAGAAGAGAAACCAGAGCCUGUGAACUGGGAAGUGGCAGCAUCAAAGUGGUAUUUUGAGAUAAUAAUCUAACAGACACACAUUUAGUCUAUAUUGUUACAGAUAACUGGAAGGCCAGUUAGGACACUACUGUAAUGGUUCAGGAACAACCUUAAUUGCUUAAACAAUCAUAGUUCUAGAGUACUAGAAAUUUCACUGAGGGUUCUAACCUUGAGCUGUAUAGAACAGUAGUACCACAAACAACAUUGGGCCCAUCAGGUAAAGUGACCAACACAGAAUUAGAGAACAAACAAAUCUAGAGAAUGACUUAUUUUUCAGUAUAAUUAAAUACAAUUACAUAGAGUUUUAUGAUUCAAGCCCUGAAGAUAGGGUAGCUUGAAAAUUACAGACCUGAACAGUAAGCAUUCUUCUCAUGUUAAGAAGAUUCUUCACAAAUCUUAUUAUAUACCAUAACAUUAGUGUUGAAUAAUUGAGAAGUUAACUUUGGGCUUUUCCUUGAUACAAGAAAUAAGACUUAUAAAUCCUUCAUGUACUACUACAGUAUUAUAAAUCCUAACAGUGAAAAUUUGAUAACAUUAGUUCCAGGCCCUAGGGCAGAAAAAGGUCCCAGAAUGCUAAUGUUGUGCAUGCCCCCAAUAGAAUCUCUCUGUUUCCAACAUUCAUUAAUUCAUCCAUUUGCUCACCUAGGUGAACCAAGUGCUUAUGUGUAGUAUACUUUGAUAGGCUCUGGGAUUCAAAAAAAAUGAGAGCUGGCCCCUGUCCUCAUGGAGGUCACAUGUUGCUGGACUGAAAAACUAGUGCAUUUGUUUUUUUACAAUGAUUUAAAAGCUUCUACCUAUUGGAGUUCCCGUCGUGGCGCAGUGGUUAACGAAUCUGACUAGGAACCAUGAGGAAAAAACUAGAAUUAUUGAAAAAGAGCCUAAUAAUGCUAAAAAGAUACUACUCUUAAGUAAGUUUCUUUAAUUUCUAUGUUUUUUUUUUUUUUUUUUUUUUCUUCUUCUUCUUUUGGGAGCCAAGCCUGGGGCAUUUGGAAAUUCCCAGGCCAGGGGUC
This 5472-nucleotide long non-coding RNA is filed under the name Sus scrofa (pig). RNAcentral's name for it is "lncRNA (ENSSSCG00015034915.1)". The record is from RNAcentral. Lineage: Eukaryota; Metazoa; Chordata; Mammalia; Artiodactyla; Suidae.